AUUGAACGCUGGCGGCAGGCCUAACACAUGCAAGUCGAACGGUAACAGGAAACAGCUUGCUGUUUCGCUGACGAGUGGCGGACGGGUGAGUAAUGUCUGGGAAACUGCCUGAUGGAGGGGGAUAACUACUGGAAACGGUAGCUAACACCGCAUAACGUCGCAAGACCAAAGAGGGGGACCUUCGGGCCUCUUGCCAUCGGAUGUGCCCAGAUGGGAUUAGCUAGUAGGUGGGGUAACGGCUCACCUAGGCGACGAUCCCUAGCUGGUCUGAGAGGAUGACCAGCCACACUGGAACUGAGACACGGUCCAGACUCCUACGGGAGGCAGCAGUGGGGAAUAUUGCACAAUGGGCGCAAGCCUGAUGCAGCCAUGCCGCGUGUAUGAAGAAGGCCUUCGGGUUGUAAAGUACUUUCAGCGGGGAGGAAGGGAGUAAAGUUAA
Molecule: ribosomal RNA, 439 nt
Filed under: uncultured Escherichia sp.
Lineage: Bacteria; Pseudomonadati; Pseudomonadota; Gammaproteobacteria; Enterobacterales; Enterobacteriaceae
Description: bacterial SSU rRNA
Rfam family: Bacterial small subunit ribosomal RNA
Source: RNAcentral